This 477-nucleotide ribosomal RNA is filed under the name uncultured bacterium. Its description in RNAcentral is "partial 16S ribosomal RNA". It matches the Rfam family "Bacterial small subunit ribosomal RNA", at positions 28 to 523 of the family's 1533-position model. The record is from RNAcentral.
GACGAACGCUGGCGGCAUGCCUAACACAUGCAAGUCGAGCGAGUAGAUCCCUUCGGGGUGAAGCUAGCGGCGGACGGGUGAGUAACACGUGGGCAACCUGCCUCAUAGAGGGGAAUAGCCUUCCGAGAGGAAGAUUAAUACCGCAUAAGAUUGUAGCUUCGCAUGAAGCAGCAAUUAAAGGAGCAAUCCGCUAUGAGAUGGGCCCGCGGCGCAUUAGCGAGUUGGUGAGGUAACGGCUCACCAAGGCGACGAUGCGUAGCCGACCUGAGAGGGUGAUCGGCCACAUUGGACUGAGACACGGCCCAGACUCCUACGGGAGGCAGCAGUGGGGAAUAUUGCACAAUGGGUGAAACCCUGAUGCAGCAAUGCCGCGUGAGUGAUGACGGCCUUCGGGUUGUAAAGCUCUGUCUUCGGGGACGAUAAUGACGGUACCCGAGGAGGAAGCCACGGCUAACUACGUGCCAGCCGCCGCAGUAA